Molecule: long non-coding RNA, 1367 nt
Filed under: Sus scrofa (pig)
Lineage: Eukaryota; Metazoa; Chordata; Mammalia; Artiodactyla; Suidae
Description: lncRNA (ENSSSCG00070017611.1)
Source: RNAcentral
AGGAAAAGGUUAAAGGGGAAAACUGAUCCAGGGACUAACUCUGUCUCAGGGGCCAGAGCUGUAAGCCAAAAACGAAGAACAUGGAGACAUGGAGCCACUGGAAGUAAAAGAGCAGGCCCGCCAGCUAGCAAGAUGCUUCUUGUCGGUAGCUUUCAGGAGGUUUUGUAAAGGUACGACCCGCAAGCACACACUGAACAGAGAAAGGGAAUGCUCUUGUCUGAGAAAGAAGCCAGGCUUUCUACAUGCACAUCUGCUGCGGACACCCGGCCCUCAGUUCCGUUUUCGUUCCCAUACGACUUCUUCGAGAAAGGUUUUUAAAGAAUCUGAAGAUAAGCUGGUGGGCUCCGGAACAAAUCCUCUUCCAUAGAAGACAUCUGAGAAAGACCUGAUUCGAAAGAAGAGACUUGAAGACUUGAGAAACUUCCUGUUGACAAUUCUGUACCACACGGCCUGGACGCCCGGAAGACGCAGCUGGCAGCCACUGUCCACAGCCCACGGAGGUUCUUAGGGAAGUUUCUAGAAGACCUUGUGCUUUAGAGAGUUGUGAAAACGCAAGUGUUGUUAGUUCUUGAGAGGGACUUCCUUCCAAGCAGAAGAUGAACUGUGUGUGGCUCUGGUUGCCAAUUUGGCAGAAUCACAGUGGAAGAUGUGAACAGUGGUAAGAGAGCUGUCAGCACGUCAGCAGAGUCUCCUGAAGGAGUUAGGCCCUGGGGUCAGAUGAUUCUCCAGCUCUCAUCUUUGCCACAAAGGGGCUGCCAUGAUCCAAACACAGCGGCUUCUCCAAACACAGAGGAUCUGUCGGUUUGGCUCUACAGCUUAUGUGGGAGCGAGGGUGAUUUGCAGGAGGUAAAGGAGGAUCCCUCUCAGCAUCCUGCUAUCGGUAGUGAUCUCUCAGCAUAAAUCAGCUUCUCAGGCAGAGCUCAGGCUGCUAAAGAGAAGGGAGGGUUCUCUCCAAAAACAGAGUCUUUUUGGCAGAGAUGGUGGACCUGGCAUUGUAAAGAACGGGUUAUGAGUUGAUGAAUUAUUUAUAACGGAUUUUUUUAAAGCACUUGUUGCUAGACUCUGACGCUUUCCUAUCUAAACACCUCCUCUUCUCUGCCUCCACCCUCACCAGAUCCCCCUGUCCUGGGUCCUGUCUCCUCCGGAGUACCUUGGGCUGGGCUGCUUCAUUGUAUUACAAACAAGUUAAUCCCCUUAUGCUCAGGAUGCAAAUGCGAUGGAGCCAAGGUCUGGGAAGCUAUGCAAAACAAUCUCUUAAGAAGCCUUUUCCCUUUUCCCUAAUGCCAGGACAGUACAAGAUGGCAGAUUUAGAAUUUAAGACUCGGAGGGUGCGCAAACAUCAAUCAUGAAAAUCAAACAACGGUCCA